This is a long non-coding RNA of Humulus lupulus (European hop), 1075 nucleotides long. RefSeq lists it as uncharacterized. NCBI's taxonomy places the organism in Eukaryota, Viridiplantae, Streptophyta, Magnoliopsida, Rosales, Cannabaceae. The record is from RefSeq and is a predicted model, not a curated record. The transcript has 3 exons.
UUUUUAGAUUAUUUAAAUUUUGUGCUUUAUUUGAUUUAAAUGUUAAGUGUGAUGAAUUGUUUUAUUUAAGUGUUGUUAUUUUAUUUAAUUGUUUAUUUGUUUUAUUUGAUUGUUUGUUAUUUUAUUUAAUUGUUAGAAAUGUUUUGGUUAAUUAAUUUAAUAAGUGAUUAAUUGUGUAACAUGUUAUCUUACUAUUUGUGUUACAUUUUAUUUAAGUGUGACAAAUGAGGUAUUUAUGUGAGCUAUGGUGGAAUGCACUAAGGUGCAUGAUAGAUAGUAAUGCACCCUAGUAAUUUAGUGUGUGCUAGUGCAUGGUAGCAUGGUGCACAUGUGUAGAUUUUCUACACAUUUUAGGUUUCCUUAUUUUAGAUUUAAUUGAGUAAUUUAUUUAUAAAAAAAAAAAGAAGAAAAGAAAAGGGAAAUGAGGAGUGGGCGUGUGACCUAGUGGGAAUGGAAUAUUUCCUUAAAAUGGUGAAAAAAAAAUCAAGACUUGAAGACCAUGAUCAUUUGGGGAUAGGCAUGAUCAUAUCUUAUCCCUUUGUAUCUUUUUGAAAUAAAGAAAAAUCAAGGAAAAUAAAAGAGAAAUGGAAACUUACCUUAAUAUUGUUUGGGGAGACUUUAUGAGAGGAUUUGUGAUAAAGGGGCUAAGAAAGGAGAGAAGAGCCAUUGCUCUUGUGUGUGUGUGUGGCUGCCGUGACCUAGAGAGAGAGAGAGAGAGAGAGAGAGAGGAAGAAAGAAAGAAAGGAAGAAGGAAGAAGAAAGUGAAGAGGAACCCCCCUAGAGCUUGAACAAGGGUGUGGAGUUUGUGGUAUUGAUCUUUUGUGUUCUUGAUUCUACAAUCAAGAGAGGUAGCAAAUAGGAUUUCUCUAUGGCACGCGUGGUGACGUGAGGAGUUCUUCAUCAUGGGGUGUAUGGCGUGGGGCAAUCCUAUGGACGAUAAAACGAUCAACGUAGAACGCCAUUUAAAUUAUGUUUUGUUUUAAGGGACUUUUUCCUAAAUUAUCAGUGGGACUCUGUUAUUUAACUUAAUUGGUUUUCUUUGAACUUUGCAUAAAAACCUAUGUUUUAUUUUAAA